GAUGAACGCUGGCGGCGUGCCUAAUACAUGCAAGUCGAGCGAACGGACGAGAAGCUUGCUUCUCUGAUGUUAGCGGCGGACGGGUGAGUAACACGUGGAUAACCUACCUAUAAGACUGGGAUAACUUCGGGAAACCGGAGCUAAUGCCGGAUAAUAUUUUGAACCGCAUGGUUCAAAAGUGAAAGACGGUCUUGCUGUCACUUAUAGAUGGAACCGCGCUGCAUUAGCUAGUUGGUAAGGUAACGGCUUACCAAGGCAACGAUGCAUAGCCGACCUGCGAGGGUGAGCGGCCACACUGGGACUGAGACACGGUCCAGACUCCUACGGGAGGCAGCAGUAGGGAAUCGUCCGCAAUGGGCGAAAGCCUUACGGAGCAACGCCGCGGGAGUGAUGAAGGUCUUCGGAUCGUAAAACUCUGUUAUUAGGGAAGAACAUAUGUGUAAGUAACUGUGCACAUCUUGGCGGUACCUAAUCAGAAAGCCACGGCUAACUACGUG
RNAcentral lists this ribosomal RNA (497 nucleotides) under uncultured bacterium. Its description in RNAcentral is "partial 16S ribosomal RNA". It matches the Rfam family "Bacterial small subunit ribosomal RNA", at positions 28 to 507 of the family's 1533-position model. The record is from RNAcentral.